GUCCACGCUGUAAACGAUGAAUACUAGGCGUAGGUGGAGUUAAACCCAUCUGUGCCGAAGCCAACGCAUUAAGUAUUCCGCCUGGGAAGUACGGCCGCAAGGCUAAAACUCAAAGGAAUUGACGGGGCCCGCACAAGCAGCGGAGCGUGUGGUUUAAUUCGAUGCAACACGAAGACCUUACCCAGGUUUGACAUACAGGUAGUAGUGAAGCGAAAGCGGAACGAUCUUCGGAAGCCUGUACAGGUGCUGCAUGGCUGUCGU
This 261-nucleotide ribosomal RNA is filed under the name uncultured bacterium. Its description in RNAcentral is "partial 16S ribosomal RNA". It matches the Rfam family "Bacterial small subunit ribosomal RNA", at positions 793 to 1055 of the family's 1533-position model. The record is from RNAcentral.